GAUGAACGCUAGCGGCAGGCCUAAUACAUGCAAGUCGAGGGAGAAUGUUGGAUUCGUCUGACAUGAAACCGGCGCACGGGUGCGUAGCACGUAUGCAACCUACCUUUAACUGGGGUAUAGCUCAGAGAAAUCUGAAUUAAUCCCCCAUAAGACUACGACAUGGCAUCAUGAUGUAGUUAAAGCUCCGGCGGUUAAGGAUGGGCAUGCGGUACAUUAGCUAGUUGGUGAGGUAAUGGCUCACCAAGGCUACGAUGUAUAGGGGGUCUGAGAGGAUGAUCCCCCACACUGGUACUAGGACACGGACCAGACUCCUACGGGAGGCAGCAGUAGGGAAUAUUGGUCAAGGGACGCAAGUCUGAACCAGCCGUGCCGCGUGAAGGAUGAAGGCCCUACGGGUCGUAAACUUCUUUUAUUAGGGAAGAAAAAACGGGGUGCGUCCUGUACUGACGGUACUUAAUGAAUAAGGAUCGGCUAACUUCGUGCCAGCCGCCGCCGUAA
This 498-nucleotide ribosomal RNA is filed under the name uncultured bacterium. Its description in RNAcentral is "partial 16S ribosomal RNA". It matches the Rfam family "Bacterial small subunit ribosomal RNA", at positions 28 to 523 of the family's 1533-position model. The record is from RNAcentral.